This 429-nucleotide ribosomal RNA is filed under the name Fusobacteriota bacterium. Its description in RNAcentral is "Fusobacteria bacterium partial 16S ribosomal RNA". It matches the Rfam family "Bacterial small subunit ribosomal RNA", at positions 355 to 776 of the family's 1533-position model. The record is from RNAcentral. Lineage: Bacteria; Fusobacteriati; Fusobacteriota.
UGGGGAAUCUUCCGCAAUGGACGAAAGUCUGACGGAGCAACGCCGCGUGAGUGAAGACGGCCUUCGGGUUGUAAAGCUCUGUGAUCCGGGACGAAAGAGCCUGAGGUAAAUAGCCUAAGGAAGUGACGGUACCGGAAAAGCAAGCCACGGCUAACUACGUGCCAGCAGCCGCGGUAAUACGUAGGUGGCAAGCGUUGUCCGGAAUUAUUGGGCGUAAAGCGCGCGCAGGCGGCUUACUAAGUCCAUCUUAAAAGUGCGGGGCUUAACCCCGUGAUGGGAUGGAAACUGGAAAGCUGGAGUAUCGGAGAGGAAAGGGGAAUUCCGAGUGUAGCGGUGAAAUGCGUAGAGAUUAGGAAGAACACCGGUGGCGAAGGCGACUUUCUGGACGAAAACUGACGCUGAGGCGCGAAAGCGUGGGGAGCAAACAGG